AGUGAACGCUGGCGGUAGGCCUAACACAUGCAAGUCGAACGGCAGCACAGUAAGAGCUUGCUCUUACGGGUGGCGAGUGGCGGACGGGUGAGGAAUACAUCGGAAUCUACUUUUUCGUGGGGGAUAACGUAGGGAAACUUACGCUACUACCGCAUACGACCUACGGGUGAAAGCAGGGGAUCCUCGGACCUUGCGCGAUUGAAUGAGCCGAUGUCGGAUUAGCUAGUUGGCGGGGUAAAGGCCCACCAAGGCGACGAUCCGUAGCUGGUCUGAGAGGAUGAUCAGCCACACUGGAACUGAGACACGGUCCAGACUCCUACGGGAGGCAGCAGUGGGGAAUAUUGGACAAUGGGCGCAAGCCUGAUCCAGCCAUACCGCGUGGGUGAAGAAGGCCUUCGGGUUGUAAAGCCCUUUUGUUGGGAAAGAAAAGCAGCAGGUUAAUACCCCGCUGUUCUGACGGUACCCAAAGAAUAAGCACCGGCUAACUUCGUG
This 492-nucleotide ribosomal RNA is filed under the name uncultured bacterium. RNAcentral's name for it is "partial 16S ribosomal RNA". It matches the Rfam family "Bacterial small subunit ribosomal RNA", at positions 29 to 507 of the family's 1533-position model. The record is from RNAcentral.